CCCUUAGAUGUUCUGGGCCGCACGCGCGCUACACUGAUGCAUUCAACAAGUUUUACCUUGGCCGAGAGGCCUGGGAAAUCUUUCAAAUAUGUAUCGUGAUAGGGAUAGAUUAUUGCAAUUAUUAAUCUUGAACGAGGAAUUCCUAGUAAAUGCAGAUCAUCAUUCUGCGUUGAUUACGUCCCUGCCCUUUGUACACACCGCCCGUCGCACCUACCGAUUGAAUGAUCCGGUGAAGCCACGGGAUUGUGCCCAGAGAACUUUAUUGUGAUUUGGGUGUGAGAACUUGUCUAAACCUUAUCAUUUAGAGGAAGGUGAAGUCGUAACA
RNAcentral lists this ribosomal RNA (325 nucleotides) under uncultured eukaryote. RNAcentral describes it as "partial 18S ribosomal RNA". It matches the Rfam family "Eukaryotic small subunit ribosomal RNA", at positions 1470 to 1796 of the family's 1831-position model. The record is from RNAcentral.